RNAcentral lists this ribosomal RNA (368 nucleotides) under Fuligo luteonitens. RNAcentral's name for it is "partial small subunit ribosomal RNA". It matches the Rfam family "Bacterial small subunit ribosomal RNA", at positions 558 to 930 of the family's 1533-position model. Lineage: Eukaryota; Evosea; Eumycetozoa; Physariida; Physaraceae. The record is from RNAcentral.
GCGUAGGGUACGUAGGCAGAUAGUUAAAAAUACCGUAAAAGACUGAGGAUGACCCUCUUAAUGCUGUGUUCACUAACUAUCUUGAGUUUCGAAGGCGGUUUCUUGAAUUCUCGAAGGAAGGGUGAAAUUGUUGAUAUUGGAAGACAUUCGAUAGCGAAAGCAAUAACCGAUUCGGAUCUGACGCUAGGUACUAAAGUAUGGGGAUAAAUAGGAUUAGAGACCUAGUAGUCCAUACCUUAAACAAUGAGUAUUCAACAUCUUUUAGCACGAAUGUGCUAUCUGGGGUUUACAGCUAACGCGUGAAAUACCGCCUGGGGAAUGUGGCCGCAAGGUUAAACUCAAAGGAAUUGACGGAGACUUAUACAAGG